RNAcentral lists this ribosomal RNA (376 nucleotides) under uncultured delta proteobacterium. RNAcentral's name for it is "bacterial SSU rRNA". It matches the Rfam family "Bacterial small subunit ribosomal RNA", at positions 485 to 859 of the family's 1533-position model. Lineage: Bacteria; Deltaproteobacteria. The record is from RNAcentral.
AGGAAGCACCGGCUAACUCCGUGCCAGCAGCCGCGGUAAUACGGGGGGUGCAAGCGUUAUUCGGAAUUAUUGGGCGUAAAGGGCGCGUAGGCGGUUUUUUAAGUCAGACGUGAAAGCCCCGGGCUUAACCCGGGAAGUGCAUUUGAAACUAUAGAACUUGAGUACGGUAGAGGAAAGCGGAAUUCCUGGUGUAGAGGUGAAAUUCGUAGAUAUCAGGAGGAACACCGGUGGCGAAGGCGGCUUUCUGGACCUGUACUGACGCUGAUGUGCGAAGGCGUGGGUAGCGAACAGGAUUAGAUACCCUGGUAGUCCACGCAGUAAACGUUGUACACUUGGUGUUGCGGGUAUUGACCCCUGCAGUGCCGAAGCAAACGCG